Molecule: long non-coding RNA, 194 nt
Organism: Gigantopelta aegis
Lineage: Eukaryota; Metazoa; Mollusca; Gastropoda; Neomphalida; Peltospiridae
Exons: 3
Source: RefSeq, a predicted model, not a curated record
GAAAGUGCCGGCAUUCCUCUUGACGGUCACCUACUGGAACCGGUCCAGCGGGUUCCAAGAUACGAACUCCUACUCAAAGAAUAUUUAAAGAACAUACCCGAUGAUAGCGAUGACAGAAAAGCUGCAGAAGAUGCCUUGAAGCUGGUGGUGGAGGCAGCCAGUCAUUCGAACCAAUUUCUAAAACAGAUGGUAAA